Solanum dulcamara is the source of this 5653-nucleotide RNA transcript. RefSeq lists it as uncharacterized. The transcript has 4 exons. The record is from RefSeq and is a predicted model, not a curated record. Lineage: Eukaryota; Viridiplantae; Streptophyta; Magnoliopsida; Solanales; Solanaceae.
GGAAACCCUAAUUUUUUGUUAUUCUUUUUCUUUCUCCUUACAACACAAAGCUGCCACCCACAACUUUUUCCUCUCCAUCUUACCCAAACACAACUCAUACCCAUUUUCACCCUUUCUUCUCAAUUUUCCUUCACCCAUCAGCACUCCAAACAACCAAAUCCACUGUCACUUCCUUUCCUUGCCAAGUUCCUCCAUUAAUGGAGAACUCCGAGCUCCCUCUUCUCUGGAAAAAUCCCAGAUCUGCAGUGAGUUUCAACUUGAAGCAACCAAUAGAAGCAGCUCAAACUCGGCAAAGUCAAGCUAAACAACAAGGCUUCUAUGGCGAAACUCCAAGCUCCAACCACGAGAUAACACCAUCGAUCUCCCUUCAGCUUUGUUUGGCGACUCUGCUGGAGAAUACAAUCCAGGUUUUAACCAUGAUAGACUCAAUUUUUUCAAUUGAGGGAGUGUGGCAGCAUUUGGAGGCCACUCAUAAGGGAAAAACUCUGGUUUCAUGAGUUGGAGCAUGCCUGGUCAGUUUUUUGUUCGAGCACUAGCUACUGAUUUUGAUUCGAACCAGUUGCGAUUGUGAUCGGAGGCAAGGGUGAGCAUAUAGAGUCCUAGAUUUACCUGUCUCCUUUUGUAUAUACAUUUUGUCUGUCUUUUUCUUUUUGAGAUAACUUUAUUUCCAUUGUCCACUUUUUGGACUUGUACUCUUUUACUAGAAGCUCUAUAUAGGUGACUUCCAGGUUCUGGGAGGGAUUCUUUUUGAUUUGUAUAUAUUUAGUUGCUUCCGCCCAUUAAUGUAUGCUCCUGUUAUUUUCCUUACUGUUUUAGAUUAGAUUGCUGGUUUUCUACCCUGAUAUCCUAUUAUUUGCUUACUAGUAGGUCAUAGUAGGUGUCAUCAUGAACUGAGAAAUCGGAUCAUGACAAAUACGCUCUCCAAAGUUCUACUAAGAGCACAAAUCAACUAUUCUCUCAAAUUCAAAUCACUCUGACAUCAGUGUCAAUAUUGGUCUUACAUUCAAAUCAUCUCUUCGAGUUUGUCAAUAUUUAGUAAAUAUCUUAAUUUUUUGUCUUACAUUUAUUCUAAAGAUGAAUUUUUUUCUACACAUAUAUUUUCUAUUGUAUUUUCACUAACUAUACGUAAGCAGUCCUUUUUGGGUUUAGUAUUCCUCAUUAGAAAAGAGAAAAAAAAGUUUGUACAUAUAUUUAGUUUGUAUCUUUACGAACCAAGCGAAUCUAAUUCUCAUCUCGAUGAGAUACGUAGGAAAUCCUUCUUGGGUUCGGUACUCUUUACCCAAAAAAAAUAUUGUUUGCUUGCUUAGAAUCUUAUACUAUAGUCACCUGAACUAUGCAGACCUGAUUUUUGUUUUCUACAAGAUACGUAGGCAACCGUCAUUUGGGUUCGGUCCCAUUUUUUUCAAAAAAAGAAACAAAUGAAUCAAAUUCUGAACUUGGUUGGUACCAACAUAGCUAGGAAUGUGCAUGACGAAGAAAUAUUUGGUAUAAUAGAGAGGAUCAACUUCAUGGUAAACCAUAUAUUCUUUUGGUACCUCUUAAUUGCGCCUUAGUGACACUUAAGAGAAUUCUCUUGUAUACAUCUAAUUCCAGAACGAAAUCUACCUCAUUGUUUCAUGUGUAUUUGUGUGGCGAGCCUUAGAUUAAUUAAUUAUAUUACAACGUUGAUCUAGAACUUGGCCUAAAUGUCUAUUGAGGCAGAAUUAUGAGUAAUGUUUGAUUUGAAAAAUGAUUGUAGGCCUUCUUUGACCCGUUUGUUCCUUUCAAAGCCUACCAAAUGACAUUAAUCCUUAGCAUGUCCCACUUUGAGCCUAAGCCUUUUCUUUGGACAACCACAUUUUAGCCUAUAUGCUUUCUGAGUGCUUAUAUGCACUAUCUAUCUCUUGAUCUAACCUUUUUGAGCGAACUGAAGAUGUGUGUGUUACAAAAAAAGAUUCAAGGUUCAAAGUUGACAAAGACAAAAUUUAAAAAGUCCUACAAAGUUUAGGAUGCAAAUGACUUCAAAAAAAACAAAGUUAAAAAUUUUCCACAAGUUCAAGCAGGCAAAAUUGCAACAAAAGAAGAAAAAUACUCCAAACAAACAAGAGAAACUUCAAAAAAUAAUGAGAAGGAAAAAGCUCAAACAAGUUAAGCUUUAACAAAAGUCCAAAAGUAUACAGGAAAUGGACAACAAUGAGGAUCAAGCGUUGAAUGCAUAAAAACUUUGAAAGCACAAAUUCAGUGCAAUGCUCAAGAAGGAAUUAAGUCACUUUUAUCCCAAAUGACUAUCCUACCAUUUCCUAAGCCUACAUUAAAAGCCAAUAACAAGCCCUACAAGAUUUUAUUUCAAAUGUUCUCACAUUAGUGGAGAUUUACAUGAAGGCCAAGCUUAUAGUAUCACAAUUGCAUGCAUGAAUAUCUUUCUGAGCAUGAGCGUACUUUCCAAAAUGUCCUAAAAUUAAAAUAUUCAAAUAUGUGAAAAUUAUGACUUUCUUUGUGGUGAGGGCAUUUGAAACAUGAGGGACAGAUAUUGUUCGAAAGUUUGUUUUGAAACAAGACGAACAAAUCGUGCCGACACUCAAGUAUAUUUGAGGUACCACUUGAAAAUAUAGGAAUUACUUUGAUGUUGAUCUCAGUUAGCUGAGAAAAGAUGGUGGAAUUCUUAUGCACAAUACUAAUUAUUGGUACCAAUUGAAGUCAAUGUGUGAUUUUGUAUUUUUUGACUUUUCAACAUUUCUUACAAAAACAAACACAAAAAAAUGGAAAUAAAAAAAAUAAUUCAUAUUUUUUGCCUUCAGAUACGGCUAUUUUAAAUUCAAAUACAUGCGUUCACCUUCUAAUACGGGUAUUUCAAUACAUUUUACAGAUACCCACCUUCUAAUACGGGUAUAUCAAUACAUUCCACAGGCACUCACCUUCUAAUACGGGUAUUUCAAUACACUCCACAGGCACCCACCUUCUAAUACGGGUAUUUAAGUACAUUUUAUAGGCACUCACCUUCUAAUAUGGGUAUUUCAAUACAUCUCAUAAGUGUCCACCUUCUAAUACGGGUAUUUCAGUAUAUUUUACAGGCACCCACCUUCUAAUACGGAUAUUUCAAUACAUUCCACAGGGUCCACCUUCUAAUAUGGGUAUUUCAGUAUAUUUUACAGGCACCCACCUUGUAAUACGAGUAUUUCAAUAUACUCCACAGGCACCCACCUUCUAAUAUCGGUAUUUCAAUACAUUCCACAGACGCCCACCUUUUAAUACGAUAUUUCAAUACAUUUUACAGGCACCACCUUCUAAUACGGUUAUUUUAAUACAUUCCACAGAUGUCUACCUUCUAAUACGGGUAUUUUAGUAUAUUUUAUUGGCACUCACCUUCUAAUGUGAGUAUUUCCGUAUAUAUUUACAUGCACUUACCUUCUAAUGCGGGUAUUUUAGUACAUUUUUACAUGCACCUACCUUUUAACGCAUGUAUCCACACUCUAGUGAGUGUUUUUCAAUAAAUUUUAUAAGCACCCAUCGUUUAAUAUGGGUACUUUACCUUUUAAGUACAUUUUACAGCCUUUUACAUUAAAUGCUUGCCUCGCUAAUCGGAGGCCAUUUACUGUGACGACCCCCUCUCUAGGCCCAUAUAUUCAGGUAUUGUAUCUUCCUGGGUCAAGUAGUUCAUCCCUUCCUUCACCCUAUAGGGCUUCGUGGGAAUUGAAUCCAAAACCUCAGGCUCAUUUACAUCCACUCUCAGGGGAUCACCUUUCACUAGUUGAGCUGCAUGUCACGCCUCGGAAGGGUACCUUAGGCGUGGUCGGCACUCGAAGACCAUUGCUUGUCCGCAAGUGAACCACCUGGUUCAAUCACACAUCCAUUCAUUCAUUCACUCAGCGGAAGACUCAAUACAAUUUAAAAGGUAUUCAAGUGGUCUAACCAAAUCAACAUUUCAAGGAGAAUAAUGUAUUUAAAACAAACCUCAAAUCAACUCUAUAUCAUAAGGAUAGUUUUGAAAACCAAAACAUUACUCGACACUAUCAUCUAUCUGUCUAUGAAGCCUCUAAUACUAUCCAGAAGGUGCCAAUGACAAGUCCAUAGUUACCCAAAAAGGAAUACUCAAAGAAAAUAUAACUAAUCCAGAGUGACUCCGGAUGCAAGGAGGACACACCAAAUCUGAGAAUGGGAGUGAUCAUUAAUGAUGCACCUUUUGAGGAUAUUUAACACUUGUAUCUGCAUCAUCAAAUGAUGCAGGCCAAAUGGCGUCAGUAAGUGGAAUGUAUGAGUAUGUAAAAUGGCAGGAAAGAGAAACAUUCAACAAAUACUUAUCUCAAGCUCAUCAAUCAAUUCAAAGGAUAUGCAAAAAUUUAGAUUUUAGCAAAUGUUUCUCAAAUCGACUCAAUCAUCUACAAUCUCUAUCUAAUAAUCUUAUCAUGCAAGAUCAUAUUCUAAUUGAGAGUUUUUCUAACCGACAACCAUCACUUAUGAGUCGGUGAUGUACAACAAAGCGGUGUCGUUGCCACACCCAUCCAAUAUCUUGCCAGAGUAAAUCCCGAAUCACUAUCAUUGGAUCCAUAAUCAAUGAAAGUCAAUCAUUUUAGGACUUAAGAGGUUUAACCCUCCAUCUUAUGCUAGAGACAUAGUUUAUGGGAAUUGAGUUAUAAUUACACUCUUAUCCAUAUCAGUGCUCAAUACUCCUUCCAAGACUCAAUAUGCUCAUAAGACUCAAAUUAAUCAGUUUAUACAAAUCAAUCCAUCUAGUCACAUUGGAAUCUAAUCAACUCAAUCAUCACUUCUUUCACUUAUACAUUCUUUUCAAGACUCAUUCAUGACUCAUCAGAACUCCAAUCAACAAUCAUUAUUACUUCUACUAUCCAAUUCAAGUUCGACUCAUGCUCAUUCAACAUUCACCAAUCAAACUUUUAGACUCAAUCAUUAUGUAAUACAUUAAAAGUUAAUACUCAAAUAGGUUUUAAGUGUUUAAUUCAUGAACACUAUCAAUCAUGUGAAUUUAUGCAAAAAUAUUCUAGGAUUUAAAGAGAUCUUUAAAAGAUUCGUUCGUAGAAGACCUAUGUCACUUACUACUCAACUAAUCAUAUACUUAGGGGCAUAUGGAAGAACUUAAACCAUGUUUUAGUUAGCCUUACAUACAUGUACACGAAGAUCAAUUAAGAACUCAAAGACCCUUCUUAAAGAACUUGAACCUUGGCAUUUCUCCUCUUCUCAAAUCCUUGCUCUCAGAUAAUCUAUGUGUUAAUGAGAGGGUUAUGCAUUUACGGUACUAUUAAAGGACUUAAUUUAGUCCUAAAUGUUAUACCCCAUACUUUUGUAUCUUGAAACGUAUUCUUAAGCUUUUUAAGAUUCUUAAGCUUCUUAAGCUUUUUAAGUUUCGUGAAAGGUUCGUAAGCUUCUUAGAAGUUAUCAUGUGAGCUGGAUAAUCUAUAACGCUAUCAAACAACUCUAAGGAAGGGAGAAUGUGACAACCCAUAGUAGGGAAGAUUGGAAAUAUGGUUAUAAGAAUUCGAAAGGAGUUGGAGGCCAAGUAAUGAGUCAUAGGACUCAACUUACUUACGUAAGAUACCAACUUAAAAAUCUUACAUUUUGAAGCUACUUGAGUCAUACCAAGCUUAUGUAGCAAGAAUUACGUAGGUUCGUAAAAUAAGACUAGAUUACAAAUCCAUGAGGAGGAAAAGAAAGUGACACA